This 442-nucleotide ribosomal RNA is filed under the name uncultured soil bacterium. Its description in RNAcentral is "bacterial SSU rRNA". It matches the Rfam family "Bacterial small subunit ribosomal RNA", at positions 26 to 517 of the family's 1533-position model. The record is from RNAcentral.
AGAAUGAACGCUGGCGGCAUGCCUAACACAUGCAAGUCGAACGAAGGCUUCGGCCUUAGUGGCGCACGGGUGCGUAACGCGUGGGAAUCUACCCUUGGGUUCGGAAUAACAGUUAGAAAUGACUGCUAAUACCGGAUAAUGACGUAAGUCCAAAGAUUUAUCGCCCAGGGAUGAGCCCGCGUAGGAUUAGGUAGUUGGUGUGGUAAAGGCGCACCAAGCCGACGAUCCUUAGCUGGUCUGAGAGGAUGAUCAGCCACACUGGGACUGAGACACGGCCCAGACUCCUACGGGAGGCAGCAGUGGGGAAUAUUGGACAAUGGGCGAAAGCCUGAUCCAGCAAUGCCGCGUGAGUGAUGAAGGCCUUAGGUUGUAAAGCUCUUUACCCGGGAUGAUAAUGACAGUACCGGAGAAUAAGCUCCGGCUAACUCCGUGCCAGCAGCCG